UACGGAGGAUGCGAGCGUUAUCCGGAUUUAUUGGGUUUAAAGGGUGCGUAGGCUGUUUGUCAAGUCAGGGGUGAAAUACCUGGGCUCAACCGAGGAAUUGCCUUUGAUACUGGCAGGCUUGAAUACUGUUGCCGUGGGAGGAAUGAGUAGUGUAGCGGUGAAAUGCAUAGAUAUUACUCAGAACACCGAUUGCGAAGGCAUCUCACGAAACAGCGAUUGACGCUGAGGCACGAAAGCGUGGGGAU
This 245-nucleotide ribosomal RNA is filed under the name uncultured Marinilabiliaceae bacterium. RNAcentral describes it as "partial 16S ribosomal RNA". It matches the Rfam family "Bacterial small subunit ribosomal RNA", at positions 524 to 768 of the family's 1533-position model. The record is from RNAcentral. Lineage: Bacteria; Pseudomonadati; Bacteroidota; Bacteroidia; Marinilabiliales; Marinilabiliaceae.